CCCUGCCCCGCGUCUGCAGCCCCGGGGAGCCCCCGCCCGACGAACGGGGCUGCGGCACCGCGGCCGGGAGGAGCCGCUCCGGGACAGCCGCCGGGACCUCGGGCCGCUCAGCUGAUACACCUGCCAGGCAUAUCUUGAGUGGGAAGGGAUGCCGAAGGAGCACCGAGCUGAACCCUUAUGUGAACACCUCGUCUGGGGAUUGAACACACAACCUGGGUUCAGCACCCUGCUCCAACCAGCCGAUCUCGGGUCCGUGGCAGUGUCGUGCCUGGGAUGGGAAUGCCAAGCACCAGCAAGGGAAUUCCUAUGCCAAUGCAGCUCCUUCUUUGAUGCUGAUACUGCUUUAUGCAGCAGCCCCUGGAAUGUCCCAGGACAGAGCUCCGUGGCCAGCACCUGACCGUGGAACAACACAGGGAGGAAUGAGCAAGACAAGCCCUGAGGGUUCCCUUGGUCCAUGGCCCAAGUUCUUCUGGAGAGUGUCAGGGACUGGUCCCCCCUGCAGAGGGGCAUCUCCUGCAGGUCCCAGCUGGCCGGGAACGCAGGGCUGGAGGAGGCCGGCAGCCCCCGAAAGGCAACCAGCACUUCUUGUCCUUGGGGCGUGCAGGGGAGGAGUGAGCUAAACACGCAUCCCAGGGACGGGCGCCAGGCUGCUCGGACAGCGCCGGCACAGGCACGGCUGAAGGGCUGCCCGCAGCUCCUCGGCCAGGGGCUGCUCUGCACGGGCAUGGGGAGAUGCUUCACCCCGCACGGAGGCCACCGAGAGCCCCGAGGCGCCCCGAGGAGCAGCUGGCACUGCCUGGGCACGGGCGGCUCGGGCCAUCCGCAGAGGGGCUCAGACGGCGAUUCCCGGUUCCCACCUCCCGGAGCUCCCCCGCGGCUGCCAGGUAUGUCCUGGCCACCCCAAAUCCCCCCCUUCCAGCCUGAGGACAUCAUCCAUCGGCAGCACUAAAGCCGAGGGGAUUUCCCUCACAGAGAUGAAAUCCCCAGCAAUUCUCUCAGAGAUGCCUUAAAAUGAAAGGUGGGUCCCACUGGAGGUGCGCUGAAGGCCAGGAUGUGCAUCCCUUUCCUGAGGGAAAAGAAUUUGCAGAGGGCCACCGCUGAGGCUCUGGAAGGAGCUGAGCUUCUGCAGGCAGAGAUGUUCUCCCGUGGGCACAGGGGCUGCCUCGGCACGGGCCGGGAGCGCGUCCAGCCAGCGCCUUCUCCUGCUUUAGAAAUAUCAAUGGGAGCCCGAGCUCGGGGGUGGGGGUUGAAAUCAGCUGAAUUCCAGGCAACUCUGUCAAGUGCCCCCCAGGGACAUGGGUGGGGCUGGGGGAUGAGGGUUUUAAAUAGCAAAUUCUAUGGAAUAUUGGCCUGUUCUUAUCCCAUCCUACUGAGCUUUCUUGGAACCUCUGCUAGCUCCUGGCACAGCUGGUGUUAAGUAGGCAGCUCUGUAUGGGAAUAUCAAUGCUCCAGGAGGCACUGUGAGAUUAUUCUAAGCUCACAAUUCAGCAGGCAAUUCAGGGCUGUAGCUCUAAUCCAUCUGAACUAGCAAAGCUGAACCCCAAAGCUGGGCCCCACACUGGGAACAGUCUUUGUGCUGCCCUGUCAGCCAAAGCCCCUGGGCUGGGAAAUUUCAGCAGCCAAACUGAUGGAAUUGCCUCAAUGCCAGCAUCCCCCAAAGGGACAAUCCAAUGCCAGCAUCCCCCAAAGGGACAAUCCAAUGCCAGCAUCCCCCAAAGGGACAAUCCA
Molecule: RNA transcript, 1728 nt
Organism: Hirundo rustica (Barn swallow)
Lineage: Eukaryota; Metazoa; Chordata; Aves; Passeriformes; Hirundinidae
Exons: 5
Source: RefSeq, a predicted model, not a curated record